Molecule: long non-coding RNA, 819 nt
Organism: Anas platyrhynchos (mallard)
Lineage: Eukaryota; Metazoa; Chordata; Aves; Anseriformes; Anatidae
Source: RefSeq, a predicted model, not a curated record
UGUACUUUCCUUCAUGCUGCUCUGUUCUUAGAAAAGCUCUUGUGCUCUCCCUUCCCAUUCGUAUACAAAAUCAGUCCUGGGAACACACUGAACUUUGCUGCUUUGUUCUGUUUCAGUCUGAACUGCUACUACACUCCAAGAUUUCCAGCAAAGAUACCUUUUUCAGAAUGGCAAAUUAUCAUUAGAGAUUUCAUGCAAGACGAAAGGCUCUGCUGCUCAAGUUCAGAGGAAAUAGAGUCACGGGCUGAUACUGACAGAACACAACAGUGCUGGGCACAAGAAUGAUGCGAAGCCAAAUUAAAACAGCAUCCAUUGAAACAGAUUCAUCAGAGUCUUAAGGACUACACCAUCAUUAAAAGCCAUGUCAGCUGAUCUCGUAAAACCUUACUUCUACAAACCUACCUACCUUCAGGAGUUAGGACAUCUCUACACCACUUUCAGUUCACAUGGCACACCCCUAGAGUAUCUUAAAGCCUCAGACACCUGCGCAAAUUCUUCAGCCUCAUAAUCACAUAUGACACUGUGCUCACUUAUUUUUCUUAAGAUAAAUAAAAUCCAGAAGUAUAUGGACAACUUUAAUCGUCCCAUGGCAUCUUGGUCCCAGCAGGUCUCAGCCCUGCAGGUGAAGCACAACAAGCAGCACCACACCUGAAGAACCUCACCAGGGCCACAGACUAUGACUACAGGUCUAACCAGCUGGGGUACCAAAAGUGACAGAGUGGGCAGUAGAAAUAAAGACACCAUGUAACUCUUGCUUGAAACAGCAGUGUUCCUUCAGCUUCUACAAAAAAAUAAAUUAAAAAGUCACUAUGAUACUGA